GUCCCCGUAGCUCAGUUGGACAGAGCGAUCGCCUCCUAAGCGAUAGGCCACAAGUUCGAUUCUUGUCGGGGACACCA
This 77-nucleotide transfer RNA is filed under the name uncultured delta proteobacterium. RNAcentral's name for it is "tRNA-Arg". It matches the Rfam family "tRNA". Rfam says of the family: Transfer RNA (tRNA) molecules are approximately 80 nucleotides in length. Their secondary structure includes four short double-helical elements and three loops (D, anti-codon, and T loops). Lineage: Bacteria; Deltaproteobacteria. The record is from RNAcentral.